CCUACGGGAGGCAGCAGUGAGGAAUAUUGGUCAAUGGUCGGGAGACUGAACCAGCCAAGCCGCGUGAGGGAUGAAGGUACAGUGUAUCGUAAACCUCUUUUGUCAGGGAACAAAGGCGGGGCCGUGUCCCCGGAUGAGUGUACCUGAAGAAAAAGCAUCGGCUAACUCCGUGCCAGAAGCCGCGGUAAUACGGAGGAUGCGAGCGUUAUCCGGAUUUAUUGGGUUUAAAGGGUGCGGAGGCGGUCUGUUAGGUCAGCGGGAAAAGCCCGGGGCUCAACCCCGGCCCGCCGUUUAAACUGGUGUUCGCGAGUUGGAGAGAGGUAUGCGGAAUGCGCGGUGUAGCGGUGAAAUGCAUAGAUAUCGCGCAGAACUCCGAUUGCGAAGGCAGCAUGCCGGCUCCACACUGACGCUGAGGCACGAAAGCGUGGGUAUCGAACAGGAUUAGAUACCCUUGUAGUC
This 459-nucleotide ribosomal RNA is filed under the name uncultured bacterium. Its description in RNAcentral is "partial 16S ribosomal RNA". It matches the Rfam family "Bacterial small subunit ribosomal RNA", at positions 338 to 795 of the family's 1533-position model. The record is from RNAcentral.